CAGUAGCCGCGGUAAUACGGAGGGUGCAAGCGUUAAUCGGAAUUACUGAGCGUAAAGCGCACGCAGGCGGUCUGUCAAGUCAGAUGUGAAAUCCCCGGGCUUAACCUGGGAACUGCAUUUGAAACUGGCAGGCUAGAGUCUUGUAGAGGGGGGUAGAAUUCCAGGUGUAGCGGUGAAAUGCGUAGAGAUCUGGAGGAAUACCGGUGGCGAAGGCGGCCCCCUGGACAAAGACUGACGCUCAGGUGCGAAAGCGUGGGGAGCAAACAGGAUUAGAGACCCGUGUAGUCCCUGUCUCUUAUAC
This 301-nucleotide ribosomal RNA is filed under the name uncultured bacterium. RNAcentral's name for it is "partial 16S ribosomal RNA". It matches the Rfam family "Bacterial small subunit ribosomal RNA", at positions 509 to 807 of the family's 1533-position model. The record is from RNAcentral.